ACGUACACUCCUACGGGAGGCAGCAGUGGGGAAUAUUGCACAAUGGGCGCAAGCCUGAUGCAGCCAUGCCGCGUGUGUGAAGAAGGCCUUCGGGUUGUAAAGCACUUUCAGCGGGGAGGAAGGCGAUACGGUUAAUAACCGUGUUGAUUGACGUUACCCGCAGAAGAAGCACCGGCUAACUCCGUGCCAGCAGCCGCGGUAAUACGGAGGGUGCAAGCGUUAAUCGGAAUUACUGGGCGUAAAGCGCACGCAGGCGGUCUGUCAAGUCGGAUGUGAAAUCCCCGGGCUCAACCUGGGAACUGCAUUCGAAACUGGCAGGCUUGAGUCUUGUAGAGGGGGGUAGAAUUCCAGGUGUAGCGGUGAAAUGCGUAGAGAUCUGGAGGAAUACCGGUGGCGAAGGCGGCCCCCUGGACAAAGACUGACGCUCAGGUGCGAAAGCGUGGGGAGCAAACAGGAUUAGAACCCCGGUAGUCCCAUGA
Molecule: ribosomal RNA, 479 nt
Filed under: uncultured organism
Description: partial 16S ribosomal RNA
Rfam family: Bacterial small subunit ribosomal RNA
Source: RNAcentral